AACGAACGCUGGCGGCAUGCCUAACACAUGCAAGUCGAACGAGACCUUCGGGUCUAGUGGCGCACGGGUGCGUAACGCGUGGGAACCUGCCCUUAGGUUCGGAAUAACUCCCCGAAAGGGGUGCUAAUACCGGAUAAUGUCUUCGGACCAAAGAUUUAUCGCCUUUGGAUGGGCCCGCGUUGGAUUAGCUAGUUGGUAGGGUAAAAGCCGACCAAGGCGACGAUCCAUAGCUGGUCUGAGAGGAUGCUCAGCCACCCUGGGACUGAGACACGGCCCAGACUCCUACGGGAGGCAGCAGUGGGGAAUAUUGGACAAUGGGCGCAAGCCUGAUCCAGCAAUGCCGCGUGUGUGAUGAAGGCCUUAGGGUUGUAGAGCUCUUUUACCCGGGAUGAUAAUGACAGUACCGGGAGAAUAAGCUCCGGCUAACUCCGUG
Molecule: ribosomal RNA, 433 nt
Filed under: uncultured bacterium
Lineage: Bacteria
Description: partial 16S ribosomal RNA
Rfam family: Bacterial small subunit ribosomal RNA
Source: RNAcentral